UACGUAGGGCGCAAGCGUUGUCCGGAAUUAUUGGGCGUAAAGAGCUCGUAGGCGGCUUGUCACGUCGGGUGUGAAAGCCCGGGGCUUAACCCCGGGUCUGCAUUCGAUACGGGCUAGCUAGAGUGUGGUAGGGGAGAUCGGAAUUCCUGGUGUAGCGGUGAAAUGCGCAGAUAUCAGGAGGAACACCGGUGGCGAAGGCGGAUCUCUGGGCCAUUACUGACGCUGAGGAGCGAAAGCAUGGGGAGCGAGCAGG
Molecule: ribosomal RNA, 253 nt
Filed under: uncultured bacterium
Lineage: Bacteria
Description: partial 16S ribosomal RNA
Rfam family: Bacterial small subunit ribosomal RNA
Source: RNAcentral